Molecule: ribosomal RNA, 1292 nt
Filed under: Munida sp. 2 AM-2022a
Lineage: Eukaryota; Metazoa; Arthropoda; Malacostraca; Decapoda; Munididae
Description: SSU rRNA
Rfam family: Eukaryotic small subunit ribosomal RNA
Source: RNAcentral
UCUAAGAUUAAGCCAUGCAUGUGUCAGUACAAACUAAAUUAGAGUGAAACCGCGAAUGGCUCAUUAAAUCAGCUAUGAUUCAUUGGAUCUGUACACCCAGUUUUCCUUGGAUAACUGUGGUAAUUCUAGAGCUAAUACAUGCACAUAUAGUCCCUAACCUCCUCUCUUGUCUGAUGAUGAGAGAGAGAGGGAAGGGCGCUUUUAUUAGUAUCAAAACCGGUCAGGCUUCGGUCUGUAAACCUAUUUGAUGACUCUGGAUAACUUUUAGCUGAGCGCACGGUCUUUUGCACCGGCGCCGCUUCUUUCAAGUGUCUGCCUUAUCAGCUUUCGAUUGUAUGUUAUGUGCCUACAAUGGCAAUAACGGGUAACGGGGAAUCAGGGUUCGAUUCCGGAGAGGGAGCCUGAGAAACGGCUACCACAUCUAAGGAAGGCAGCAGGCACGCAAAUUACCCACUCCCGGCACGGGGAGGUAGUGACGAAAAAUAACGAUGCGAGACUCAUCCGAGGCUUCGCAAUCGGAAUGAGUACACUUUAAAUCCUUUAACGAGGAUCAAUUGGAGGGCAAGUCUGGUGCCAGCAGCCGCGGUAAUUCCAGCUCCAAUGGCGUAUAUUAAAGUUGUUGCGGUUNNNNNNNNNNNNNNNNNNNNNNNNGAGUGGAGCCUGCGGCUUAAUUUGACUCAACACGGGAAACCUCACCAGGCCCAGACACUGGAAGGAUUGACAGAUUGAGAGCUCUUUCUCGAUUCAGUGGGUGGUGGUGCAUGGCCGUUCUUAGUUGGUGGAGCGAUUUGUCUGGUUAAUUCCGAUAACGAACGAGACUCUGGCCUAUUAACUAGUCGACGGAUUUCCAAACCAUGCAAUUGGUGUCCAGUUCGCAAUAUUAUCUUCUUAGAGGGAUAAGCGGUAGUCCUAGCCGCACGAGAAUGAGCAAUAACAGGUCUGUGAUGCCCUUAGAUGUUCUGGGCCGCACGCGCGCUACACUGAAGGGAUCAGAAUGUUUUCCCCCUCCGAAAGGAGCGGGUAACCCGAUGAAACCCCUUCGUGAUAGGGAUUGGGGCUUGUAAUUAUUUCCCAUGAACGAGGAAUUCCCAGUAAGCGCAGAUCAAGAGUUUGCGUUGAUUACGUCCCUGCCCUUUGUACACACCGCCCGUCGCUACUACCGAUUGAAUGAUUUAGUGAGGCCUUCGGACUGUCGCUCUUGGAUUUCUUGGCUUAAUGCUAGUUCCUAGAGCUGACGGAAAGAUGUCCAAACUUGAUCAUUUAGAGGAAGUAAAAGUCGUAACAAGGUUUCC